UGAACGCUGGCGGCGUGCCUAAUACAUGCACGUCGAGCGAACAGACGAGGAGCUUGCUCCUCUGACGUUAGCGGCGGACGGGUGAGUAACACGUGGAUAACCUACCUAUAAGACUGGGAUAACUUCGGGAAACCGGAGCUAAUGCCGGAUAAUAUAUUGAACCGCAUGGUUCAAUAGUGAAAGACGGUUUUGCUGUCACUUAUAGAUGGAUCCGCGCCGCAUUAGCUAGUUGGUAAGGUAACGGCUUACCAAGGCAACGAUGCGUAGCCGACCUGAGAGGGUGAUCGGCCACACUGGAACUGAGACACGGUCCAGACUCCUACGGGAGGCAGCAGUAGGGAAUCUUCCGCAAUGGGCGAAAGCUUGACGGAGCAACGCCGCGUGAGUGAUGAAGGUCUUCGGAUCGUAAAACUCUGUUAUUAGGGAAGAACAAAUGUGUAAGUAACUAUGCACGUCUUGACGGUACCUAAUCAGAAAGCCACGGCUAACUACGUG
RNAcentral lists this ribosomal RNA (495 nucleotides) under uncultured bacterium. RNAcentral's name for it is "partial 16S ribosomal RNA". It matches the Rfam family "Bacterial small subunit ribosomal RNA", at positions 30 to 507 of the family's 1533-position model. The record is from RNAcentral.